UUUCGAAGGGUUUGAUCCUGGCUCAGAAUGAACGUUGGCGGCGUGGAUUAGGCAUGCAAGUCGGACGCCCCUUGGGGGCGUGGCGAAAGGGUGAGUAAGGCGACGGCAACCAACCCCGCGGAGGGGGACAGCCACGGGAAACUGUGGGUAAUCCCCCAUGA
This 161-nucleotide ribosomal RNA is filed under the name Tautonia sociabilis. RNAcentral describes it as "Isosphaeraceae bacterium GM2012 partial 16S ribosomal RNA". It matches the Rfam family "Bacterial small subunit ribosomal RNA", at positions 1 to 176 of the family's 1533-position model. The record is from RNAcentral. Lineage: Bacteria; Pseudomonadati; Planctomycetota; Planctomycetia; Isosphaerales; Isosphaeraceae.